CAUGUAAUUUAUUAUGUUAAUAAUAUAUCCAAUAUCUUGACUACCAGGCAAAUUCAGUACAGUCUCCACACUCUGGUAAUGCUGUACGAUUCAAAAAUAAUAGUAUAAAGUCAAAAAUCUAGCCCUGGGCUACCUCUGUUUUGAGCAAAGAGUCGGCAGAGUCGGUUAUUUCCUUGCUCAGGCCGAGCCUGGCGAGCCGCUUGAGGCCGUGGACGAGGCCUGGCCUUUUCGAUUCCUGCUGCAUUCCUGCUGCAAGGGUCAGCGCAUUCCUUCCUUAAUCCUGCUUCGGACAAAUGGGUUUCUCGUACCGAUCCAGAAGUAAACAACCACCACGUGGUCUGAGGGUAAACAAGUGACCGGAUGAAACCUCCCGUGCUGUUAUCAGCAAUAAACAUACCGUCUUUUUUGCUUUGCAGUUUGCACUUUGCAGCAAACUCAGUAUUUCUCGACUGACAAGUGAUCAUAGCUGAUCAUUGAUUAUUCCCUAGAACAGAGUUUCAGGAUGGUCGAGUCAUCAGAGGUCGAGGCUAACAUGACACCGAUCGAGUCAAGCUUCCGUUUCCAUGAUUUUCAAAAGGCAGUAUUUGGCAUCGAUAUCGGCUUUAAGGUGAUAAAAAUGGAGGAGUCGUAUUUCAUCUGGGUCGGCAUGGUCUCCAAUAAGGUUUUAACAGAUUUGAGCACAGCAAUUAUGACGAGAUUCCAACCCAUGCCUCUCGCCACGAGCCUCUUCGGGACUGAAACGGACAUCAACUCGACCGCCUUGGCUUCUAAGCUUUCAAAAAAGCUUGGGACACCUGUGCUCCUCAGCUACAACCUCUCUGACCAACGGAUGCUGGUCGAAGUUGAGAAGAUUUUGUGGGAAGAAAUAAAUACCAAUUCAGAUUUCUUUAGAUGAGAAUCAACCAAAACAAAAACAAAAUUGUUAUAUAUUUUUGUAAUUAUUAUUUUAUUAUAAUUUUUUUGCAUUAAAAUACGUUUUUAUUAUAUGAAUAAAAGCACAUCUAAUACAAUAUAAGCAAGCCAUAUAAAUCAGAAAAUUAAUACACAUCAUGUUUCAAACUUUUUUAUUGUUUAUUUCAUUUUUUUUUUCAAACUUUAUAAUACUUUAUUUAUGGACAACUUUCAAUUUUGGGGAUCACAGUGGCUAAGUGGUUAAGGCAUCAACUAAUAGCCCCUAUAUAUAUUUUUUUGUUAAAUAGUGAUAGCAUAAUUGCAUAACCCUUGUAAUAUUAAUUGAGAAUAAUUUGAAUAAAAUAUUGUAAAGUGGUUUGACCCCUUGCCCGUGA
Cimex lectularius (bed bug) is the source of this 1286-nucleotide long non-coding RNA. RefSeq lists it as uncharacterized. The transcript is spliced from 2 exons. The record is from RefSeq and is a predicted model, not a curated record. Lineage: Eukaryota; Metazoa; Arthropoda; Insecta; Hemiptera; Cimicidae.